UAAAAUGUACAUAUCAGCAAUAAUAUAUAUUUUUUUGAAAAUAACCCAAGUUCAUUAAAGCAUCUAUAAUAAACCCCAACUAAGAACCAUCUUCCUCAAUGGACAUCAAAGCUGUUUUCACCUUCUGGGCAUCCGCUUUCAGGAUGUCUGGUCCAUUGACGUUUGAGAGUAUAUACUGCAUCGCACUUCAGUUGCCCAACAAUCCAGCUAAGUAAGGUGAACGACACCCUUGUAACCCACCAGAGAACACUAGCAACACUGUUCCUGAAGAAUCUCGGAUGACUGCUCCGUACCCUGCCUCAGAACCGACAUCGAAAAUAGUUCCAUCAACAUUGUAUUUCCAAAGUCCUGAUGCUGGAGCUUGUCAUACAGAGGGAAUGGGUGAAGUUUGUUGUUGUUGCACGUUACAUAUAUCACGGAUUUCCUUCGCUUGUCUCCGUUCAGUUAAAGAAUUUCCUCAUUAAGAAGAUGGACGUCUGAUAGGCAAACUUCCUUCUUGUCUACAGAAAUUCAUUCCGUUCCAGCGAGGUACGCCAUAAGCAGCAAAGUAUUUCCACUAUUGCCUACUUCGGUAGGUUCUUGACGUUUAGCUCCGUCCAUCCAAGCAAACCUCUUAGCUGAGUUGACUGUAAUUGAAUGCCCAGUAACCUCCAGCAGCCUCUAGCUUUUUCACAUUCAAAG
Molecule: long non-coding RNA, 681 nt
Filed under: Carica papaya (papaya)
Lineage: Eukaryota; Viridiplantae; Streptophyta; Magnoliopsida; Brassicales; Caricaceae
Description: long non-coding RNA (CPAP_LNC011732)
Source: RNAcentral